Molecule: ribosomal RNA, 495 nt
Filed under: uncultured bacterium
Lineage: Bacteria
Description: partial 16S ribosomal RNA
Rfam family: Bacterial small subunit ribosomal RNA
Source: RNAcentral
GACGAACGCUGGCGGCGUGCCUAAUACAUGCAAGUAGAACGCUGAAGGAGGAGCUUGCUUCUCUGGAUGAGUUGCGAACGGGUGAGUAACGCGUAGGUAACCUGCCUGGUAGCGGGGGAUAACUAUUGGAAACGAUAGCUAAUACCGCAUAAGAGUAGAUGUUGCAUGACAUUUGCUUAAAAGGUGCAAUUGCAUCACUACCAGAUGGACCUGCGUUGUAUUAGCUAGUUGGUGGGGUAACGGCUCACCAAGGCGACGAUACAUAGCCGACCUGAGAGGGUGAUCGGCCACACUGGGACUGAGACACGGCCCAGACUCCUACGGGAGGCAGCAGUAGGGAAUCUUCGGCAAUGGACGGAAGUCUGACCGAGCAACGCCGCGUGAGUGAAGAAGGUUUUCGGAUCGUAAAGCUCUGUUGUAAGAGAAGAACGAGUGUGAGAGUGGAAAGUUCGCACUGUGACGGUAUCUUACCAGAAAGGGACGGCUAACUACGUG